RNAcentral lists this ribosomal RNA (253 nucleotides) under uncultured bacterium. RNAcentral describes it as "partial 16S ribosomal RNA". It matches the Rfam family "Bacterial small subunit ribosomal RNA", at positions 524 to 776 of the family's 1533-position model. The record is from RNAcentral.
UACAGAGGGUGCGAGCGUUAAUCGGAAUUACUGGGCGUAAAGCGUGCGUAGACGGUAGCGUAAGUCAGAUGUGAAAGCCCCGGGCUCAACCUGGGAAUUGCAUUUGAGACUGCUCUGCUCGGGUGCGGAAGAGGGAAGCGGAAUUUCCGGUGUAGCGGUGAAAUGCGUAGAUAUCGGGAAGAACACCCGUGGCGAAGGCGGCACUCUGGGACGGUACUGACGCUGAGACGCGAAAGCGUGGGGAGCGAACAGG